GGGCGGAUAGCUCAGCGGGAGAGCACGUCCCUUACAAGGACGGGGUCGCAGGUUCGAACCCUGCUCCGCCCACCA
Molecule: transfer RNA, 75 nt
Filed under: bacterium
Lineage: Bacteria
Also listed under: 4 other names
Description: tRNA-Val
Rfam family: tRNA
About the family: Transfer RNA (tRNA) molecules are approximately 80 nucleotides in length. Their secondary structure includes four short double-helical elements and three loops (D, anti-codon, and T loops).
Source: RNAcentral